GUGCGGCAGGUAGCCUAGUGGUUAGAGUGGAGGGGAGGCAGGUAACCUAGUGGUUAGAGUGGAGGGGUGGCAGGUAGCCUAGUGGUUAGAGUGGAGGGGAGGCAGGUAGCCUAGUGGUUAGGGUGGAGGGGCGGCAGGUAGCCUAGUGGUUAGAGUGGAGGGGAGGCAGGUAGCCUAGUGGUUAGAGUGGAGGGGAGGCAGGUAGCCUAGUGGUUAGAGUGGAGGGGAGGCAGGUAACCUAGUGGUUAGAGUGGAGGGGAGGCAGGUAGCCUAGUGGUUAGAGUGGAGGGGAGGCAGGUAGUCUAGUGAGUGGAGGGGAGGCAGGUAGCCUAGUGGUUAGAGUGGAGGGGUGGCAGGUAGCCUAGUGGUUAGAGUGGAGGGGAGGCAGGUAGCCUAGUGGUUAGAGUGGAGGGGAGGCAGGUAGCCUAGUGGUUAGAGUGUAGGGGCGGCAGGUAGCCUAGUGGUUAGAGUGGAGGGGUGGCAGGUAGUCUAGUG
RNAcentral lists this long non-coding RNA (495 nucleotides) under Salmo salar (Atlantic salmon). RNAcentral's name for it is "lncRNA (ENSSSAG00000115093.1)". The record is from RNAcentral. Lineage: Eukaryota; Metazoa; Chordata; Actinopteri; Salmoniformes; Salmonidae.